GUCGGCCCUCCUCAGAAGCCACUUGGACUGAACCCUCCACUGAAUGUCCAGCUGUCCUGUGGACCCCCCUGGAUGCCAACCUUGUAACUGGCUAAAGAGAGUUAAGUCACCUUUCUAGCUUCUUUAAAAUUCCUAGCAAGCCUCAAACAUGAAGAAGAAAAGAAGGUUGGGAGGAGAAUGAAGAAGGAAAGGAGAAAGAGAGGGAGAAAAGAAAAAAAGAAGGUACAUUUUUGUCUUCCAAAACCAAGCAACUGGAUUAACUUUUGUGCUGAUUUAAGCACACAUUGAACCACCUGAAUUUUUCUAUCAUUUACACCUGUUUCUGAAAUAGCUUCAACUCUUUUGCCUUUGACCCACUUUGAUUCAGUUCUAUGUGGAAUCUGUGCUCUUGGACUCUUCCACCACAGAGCUGGCCAUAGAAGCAGCUGGGAAAACCUCCCAGGGAACAGCUGGUGUUUAAGGCCCCACAACUCGGCCAUCAUCCAGGGUGAAUAUUGGUUUUCUGCAACAGUGGGGUUUUGGAGACACAGUUUAAUAAAAUACACUUCGUAUUUGUGUUGGA
Molecule: non-coding RNA, 562 nt
Organism: Ictidomys tridecemlineatus (thirteen-lined ground squirrel)
Lineage: Eukaryota; Metazoa; Chordata; Mammalia; Rodentia; Sciuridae
Source: RefSeq, a predicted model, not a curated record